This 253-nucleotide ribosomal RNA is filed under the name uncultured bacterium. RNAcentral describes it as "partial 16S ribosomal RNA". It matches the Rfam family "Bacterial small subunit ribosomal RNA", at positions 524 to 776 of the family's 1533-position model. The record is from RNAcentral.
UACGUAGGGGGCUAGCGUUGUCCGGAUUUAUUGGGCGUAAAGAGCGUGUAGGCGGCCAUGUAGGUCUGGUGUGAAAACUCGAGGCUUAACCUCGAGAUGUCAUCGGAAACCAUUUGGCUAGAGUCCGGAAGAGGAGAGUGGAAUUCCUGGUGUAGCGGUGAAAUGCGCAGAUAUCAGGAAGAACACCAAUGGCGAAAGCAGCUCGCUGGGACGGUACUGACGCUGAGACGCGAAAGCGUGGGGAGCGAACAGG